This 253-nucleotide ribosomal RNA is filed under the name uncultured bacterium. Its description in RNAcentral is "partial 16S ribosomal RNA". It matches the Rfam family "Bacterial small subunit ribosomal RNA", at positions 524 to 776 of the family's 1533-position model. The record is from RNAcentral.
UACGAAGGGGGCUAGCGUUGCUCGGAAUCACUGGGCGUAAAGCGCACGUAGGCGGCUUUUUAAGUCAGGGGUGAAAUCCUGGAGCUCAACUCCAGAACUGCCUUUGAUACUGAGAAGCUUGAGUCCGGGAGAGGUGAGUGGAACUGCGAGUGUAGAGGUGAAAUUCGUAGAUAUUCGCAAGAACACCAGUGGCGAAGGCGGCUCACUGGCCCGGUACUGACGCUGAGGUGCGAAAGCGUGAGGAGCAAACAGG